AUGGACUGCGACAUUUCAUCCAUGGAGGACCAGGUGCCGAGGAUCGACUCGAAAUCGACAUCGGGGGCAGAGGCAGAGGCAGAGGCGGCAACAGGUCCAGAUACCAAUGUGUCGACGAUUGAAUCAAAUCUCUCAGCAUCAGACAAGUCAACACCCAAACCUGCAGAUCAUGUUCCCAUCAACAGAGGCGAUGAUGUUGUUGAGAAGAUGGACACAGGCAAAUCAGCCCAACAAUUAGCCAGUGAGGCUGAGAAGAUGGCCACCCAACAGAAGGAAUUUGCUCAGUACGCUGAUGCCUGGGAUGCUAAAUGGGGAUCCAAUGGGUUCGGUCUCUUCCAUUACAUGACGACGGUCAGUUCCAUGCAAUAUGCACACUUGAUACCCGGGAGCGCCCCAAGGCACAAUUGUCGAGCCGCGCCUAGCCUCCAGGUCGUCUCCAUCAGACUGGCAGAAAUUCAAGGUGGACUGGAAUGGCCGUUGCCAGUGUACGGUAUGAUUGCUGUCAGAGACCACGUGGAUCACAAUCGCAACCUUCUGUUUGCCUGCUAUAGGAGCAGGUGUCAGAUACUCAAGGAAAAGGAGCCCUUUUUGGCCUUGACUGGCCCGUCCCGUGCAAUUGUGUGCAAGGAAUCGGUUGACUUUGAAAUCCAACUGAAAGUAAGAGGUACAACAGUCUGA
This 678-nucleotide ribosomal RNA is filed under the name Triticum aestivum (bread wheat). Its description in RNAcentral is "partial small subunit ribosomal RNA". The record is from RNAcentral. Lineage: Eukaryota; Viridiplantae; Streptophyta; Magnoliopsida; Poales; Poaceae.